ACAUAUAUUUUCCAUAUAUAAGAUUUUCAACCCUAUUUUAUAUUAAUAUUAUUUGAGUAAAACCCUGAAAACCAUUUCUGUCUGUUUUAGCUUUUUGAGAUGUUUCCAAAGGAAAUGAUCUCAAUAAAUUCCAAUAAAAUUACAGGAGCCCUCCCAAGCCAUAUUAGGUGCUCACAUAAAAUAUCACCUUGAUCCAAGGUGGGGAAGUGCACCUAAUGA
RNAcentral lists this long non-coding RNA (219 nucleotides) under Hordeum vulgare. RNAcentral describes it as "long non-coding RNA (HVUL_LNC016161)". The record is from RNAcentral. Lineage: Eukaryota; Viridiplantae; Streptophyta; Magnoliopsida; Poales; Poaceae.